Molecule: ribosomal RNA, 486 nt
Filed under: uncultured bacterium
Lineage: Bacteria
Description: bacterial SSU rRNA
Rfam family: Bacterial small subunit ribosomal RNA
Source: RNAcentral
GACGACGCUGGCGGCGUGGAUUAGCAUGCAAGUCGAACGGUAUCAUCCUUUCGGGGGUGAGAGAGUGGCGAACUGGUGAGUAACACGUAGGUUAUCUACCCUCAAGACGGGGGACAACCCAGGGAAACUUGGGCUAAUACCGGAUGUGAGCAACUUUUAGUUGUUUGAAAGGUGGCGUAAGCUGUCGCUUGGGGAUGAGCCUGCGUCCUAUUAGUUAGUUGGUGAGGUAACGGCUCACCUAGGCAAUGAUAGGUAGGCGGCCUUAACGGGUGGUCGCCCACACUGGGAUUGAGAUACGGCCCAGACUCCUACGGGAGGCAGCAGUCGAGAAUAGUCUACAAUGGUCGGAAGACUGAUAGUGCGACGCCGCGUGAACGAUGAAUCCCUUCGGGGUGUAAAGUUCUUUUAUAUGUGAGCAGUGCUUCUUAUAUUAACAGUAUGGGGAGAGAGAUAUUAGCAUAUGAAUAAGCAACGGCUAACUCCGUG